Molecule: unclassified non-coding RNA, 294 nt
Filed under: Hevea brasiliensis (rubber tree)
Lineage: Eukaryota; Viridiplantae; Streptophyta; Magnoliopsida; Malpighiales; Euphorbiaceae
Source: RNAcentral
GGAGAAGCGUUAGGGAGAGGAGCAUUUGGAACAGUAUUUAAAGGAAUUUUGGCUGAAGACCAGAAAGUGAUAGCAGUUAAGAGACUAGACAAAGAAUUAGUAGAAGGGGAGACAGAGUUCCAAACUGAAAUAAAAAUCAUUGGAAGGACACAUCACCGAAAUCUCGUCCGCCUCCUUGGUUAUUGCCUGGAUGGAUCAAGAAGGCUUCUGGUGUAUGAGUACAUGACCAAUGGGUCACUUGCAGACAUACUUUUUACAACAGAAAAACAGCCCACGUGGGAGGAAAGGUGUGGC